CUAUAGCCACACAACCCUGAAUGCACUCAAUUUCUUCUGAUCUCAGAAGCUAAGCAAGCUCAGGUCUGGUUAGUACUCAGAUGGGAGAAAUGUCUCAAGCUCAUCCUCCUUUAUGGAAGAGUAAUACUCCAUUGU
Molecule: ribosomal RNA, 135 nt
Filed under: Chinchilla lanigera (long-tailed chinchilla)
Lineage: Eukaryota; Metazoa; Chordata; Mammalia; Rodentia; Chinchillidae
Source: RNAcentral